This 724-nucleotide long non-coding RNA is filed under the name Homo sapiens (human). RNAcentral's name for it is "non-protein coding lnc-ANKRD36B-3:28". Lineage: Eukaryota; Metazoa; Chordata; Mammalia; Primates; Hominidae. The record is from RNAcentral.
GAUGGAGGGUAGGAGAGCCUUGAGCCUGCGAGAAGAGUCUCUUAGAAUAGAGAAGCUGAAGUUAAAGUUGUGGAAGAGAGUGGGGAUAACUGAGUGACAGAUAAUCAGGAGAAGAAAAGGAGAUCCAGACUCAUGACAGAGAGAUGACCUUUGCCAAGAGCACAGCCGUCUUUCACGGUCACAGAGAGGUAGGACAAAAUGAGUGGUGUUCAAGAAUUGGUUUGUAGCACAAUAUUUCAACUAUGUCCUUUAAAAAGUUUCUCCACAGACACUACCCAAAGCAGUGCUUCACUACAGUGGCAGACAGACCUGAAAAUUUUCAUCUGAAGCAGCAGAGUGAACUGCAGAGGCAGGUCACCAACCAGUGUGGAGGCUAAAAGCGGGCCUCUUUGGGGAUUCCAGGUGGAAGUGUUGGACAUCUGUAGUAUUCCUGGUCUCGAAUCAUCCUGAUAUUCUUCAUUUUGUUAUUCACAUUGGACUAGGAGAUAGAAUCUCACUAUGUUGACCAGGCUGGUCUUGAACUCUUGGCACCCAAGCGAUCCUUUUGCCUGGAAUCCCAAAGUGUCAGAUUUACUGAAGAAUAUUUCAUUGUAAUUACUUUUUAUACUUUAUAGGUCAAGAGCUCUGUUUUAAAUACAAAAUUUAUUGAAUAUACUUUUUCAAACAAAGUUUCAUGUUCUAAUCAUUGUCUGAUUUCAGCAUUAAAUGAAACACAGUAAAGAAA